GGGGGCGUAAAGGCUUCGACGGGGGUUAUGAAACAGGAUAAGCGAGUAGAGUUGUGCAAACUCUUAAAACGGCACACGUUUUAAAAUUAAACGACAAAAAUAAUUCACAAUUAGCAGCUGCUUAAUUGCUGCUCACCACCUCAUUGCAGCCUACGGCUUUGAGCUUGGUGUCGAUUAGUAGGAACGGCUUUUUCGCAUUGCCUUUGGCGUAAAAGUCUAUUUUAAAGGCUGCCCGCUCACAGGCGUGUUUGUUUGCCGGUGCCCGGGGAGAUUUUAUAACAAACUAUACUCGUAGAAAUUCCUGCGGAUUGAUUUUCGGACACGGGUUCAAUUCCCGUCGCCUCCACCA
Molecule: transfer-messenger RNA, 349 nt
Filed under: Oscillospiraceae
Lineage: Bacteria; Bacillati; Bacillota; Clostridia; Eubacteriales
Also listed under: 1 other name
Description: UMGS1601 sp900545345 Standard tmRNA
Rfam family: transfer-messenger RNA
About the family: Bacterial tmRNA, also known as 10Sa RNA or SsrA, is named for its dual tRNA and mRNA-like properties. Its role is to liberate the mRNA from a stalled ribosome. To accomplish this part of the tmRNA is used as a reading frame that ends in a translation stop signal.
Source: RNAcentral